GCGGGAGUAGCUCAGCUGGUAGAGCGCCAGUUUGCCAUACUGGAGGUCGCGGGUUCAAAUCCCGUUUCCCGCUCCA
This 76-nucleotide transfer RNA is filed under the name Halarsenatibacter silvermanii. RNAcentral describes it as "tRNA_Gly_GCC". It matches the Rfam family "tRNA". From Rfam's summary of the family: Transfer RNA (tRNA) molecules are approximately 80 nucleotides in length. Lineage: Bacteria; Bacillati; Bacillota; Clostridia; Halanaerobiales; Halarsenatibacteraceae. The record is from RNAcentral.